AUUGAACGCUGGCGGCAGGCUUAACACAUGCAAGUCGAGCGGGGUGAUGGUGCUUGCACUAUCACUUAGCGGCGGACGGGUGAGUAAUGCUUAGGAAUCUGCCUAUUAGUGGGGGACAACAUCUCGAAAGGGAUGCUAAUACCGCAUACGUCCUACGGGAGAAAGCAGGGGAUCACUUGUGACCUUGCGCUAAUAGAUGAGCCUAAGUCGGAUUAGCUAGUUGGUGGGGUAAAGGCCUACCAAGGCGACGAUCUGUAGCGGGUCUGAGAGGAUGAUCCGCCACCAUGGGACUGAGAAACGGCCCAGACUCCUACGGGAGGCAGCAGUGGGGAAUAUUGGACAAUGGGGGGAACCCUGAUCCAGCCAUGCCGCGUGUGUGAAGAAAGCCUUAUGGUUGUAAAGCACUUUAAGCGAGGAGGAGGCUCUUUUGGUUAAUACCCAAGAUGAGUGGACGUUACUCGCAGAAUAAGCACCGGCUAACUCUGUGCCAGCCGCCGCGGUAA
Molecule: ribosomal RNA, 503 nt
Filed under: uncultured bacterium
Lineage: Bacteria
Description: partial 16S ribosomal RNA
Rfam family: Bacterial small subunit ribosomal RNA
Source: RNAcentral